This 223-nucleotide long non-coding RNA is filed under the name Nicotiana benthamiana. RNAcentral describes it as "long non-coding RNA (NBEN_LNC041611)". Lineage: Eukaryota; Viridiplantae; Streptophyta; Magnoliopsida; Solanales; Solanaceae. The record is from RNAcentral.
AAAAUGAUAGUGUUGAUCUUAGAAAAGUGAUUAAAGCUAUGCAUGAAGCUUCUACUAUUGAUCAAUAUUCUAAAUGUUCUUCUAGUGAAUCCUUGCAAUCUAAAAUUGCAGAACUUAGGAGUACAUUAGAUAGGCGUAGUGUAGAUGUUCCUAAGGUUGUUGAAGAAAAGAAGAACCCUAGGAAAAAUAGACGGCGUAAAAACAAGAAUCACGCUAGAAAUUU